This 2765-nucleotide long non-coding RNA is filed under the name Sus scrofa (pig). Its description in RNAcentral is "lncRNA (ENSSSCG00000057387.1, ENSSSCG00025077730.1, ENSSSCG00055008285.1)". Lineage: Eukaryota; Metazoa; Chordata; Mammalia; Artiodactyla; Suidae. The record is from RNAcentral.
UAUAUGGAAUUUCUUUAUAAAUAGUAAAGCACUAUACCGAUUUAAUAAUAGUUUUUAUUGCUCUAAUUAAGAAAGGGAUGACUAAUAGAAACCUAAGACAAACAAAAUUUUAAAAACACUGAAAUUUAUGUCAUUUUUUUCUUAGUGGUAUAGGCUCUUUGGAGGUGGCUUGAUAUGAUUACCCAGUUUCCUAGGUUUUGAUUUUAAAACCUUAAAGUUCAUUUUUGACAAUGAUAUUUCUUAAAAUAGAAGGUAAAAAAUUUAAAUAACCAAAUAUGACGGAAAAAAUUGAUAUUGUAGUAUUGGACUCUAGUUCAGUGGUUCUUAAACUUUAGUGUACUUAGGAAUUACCUUGGGUGUUUGUUAAAAUUCAGAUUUCUGAGCUCCAUCCCUAACAGACUUCCGUCCUGGAUUUUAGCCGGUCCACAUAUAUUAGAAAACACUACUUUACUUUGCUAUUGUACAUCAUAAUCACGAGGGAAGUUUUAAAUGCACAGAUUUCUAGGUUCUACUUCCAGAUAUCCUAAAUCUGAAUCUUUAGACUGAUAUUCAUGGAUCUGUAUUUUACAAAAACUACAUCAUGGAUUCUAAUAAUAUUGCAAAUUUAGAGAUUCCUUGCUCUUGUUUUUAAGGUAUAUUAUUAAAAUUAUAUUUACUCUUGCACCUGAAUUCAUUCUCAUAGUUCACAUUAUUCUUGCACUUUACUUAGAUAAGUUGAUACUGCUAUGUAAGAAAAGUUUAGGCUUGAAUAACAGUAAGAGUUUGCCAUAUAAUAGCAAAAUUAAGGAAAAGCGAAGUUACUGAGCACCUUUUACAUAAAUUACUUAAUCUUUAUAGCUCUUGUUUUCCACCUAUGUUACAGGCAAAAACCCUGAAACUCAGGGUAAAUCGCCAAGUUCACACAGCUGUUAAGUGUCAACACCAGGAUUCAGAACCUAUACUCUUUCUACUAUACCAUAUUAACCAUAUUAUUUUUCCCCAAUCCAAUAAGUCUUUACCAAGUUUCUAUUAUGUUAAGUGAUAAUGUUUAGCUUUGAGGGCCACAAAGUCCUUUAUUUACAUGAUAUAAUAAUUAUUGCUUAUACCAUAUAAAAGUCAUUGAGAUUUUUUUAUUCUUUCGUUGAGAAAUAAUUUUUAGCUGGAGGUAGAAUUCAAGUUUUCCGAAUAUUAAGAAGGCUUCUGAUUAUGAAAAAUAAUCAUAAUUUAAUGAGUUGUUAAAAAACGUUGUCUAUGAGAUCUCUUUCAGCAACCAUGCCUUUACUAUGAAGUAUUUUAAUCCAGUUUACAGAUAAGGAAAGCCAGAUUUGGGAUGAGUAAGUGUCUUACCCAAGUUUGCAGAUCUAGUAAGUGGAGAACUGGUAUUAAACUCUGGUUCAAUAUAACUUUGACAGCAAAGCUAGCACCUUUAACCACCAGUACAUACAAUCUCUGCCUGUGGUUUAGAGUUAACCUGAAGAAUGAGGCUUUCCCUUUAUUUAAGUACAAAGUCACUAAAUGCUAAUUAAACUUUGUUAGACUUAAUUUCCUUUGUAGGGAACAAACCAUUUUGUCACUCUUUAAUCAGUCCAGUAAUUUUUUUUUAAAUCUUGUAAAGUUUGUUAACUCUGCCUAAUGCCUUAGGGAAGUCAGUUGAAGUGAACAAUCUCUUGUUUAUAUUUUUAUUUGAGAGUUCAAACUCUUCAAUGGAACAGACUAUUUAAAUGAAAAUUUCAAUUUUUACCUUUUAUGACAUACCAUGAGCACACAAAUUUCAUGGCCUCCAUAGCCAUUGUUAUUGGUCUUAAAAUAAUUGAUUUGCAGUUAAAAUAAAAUAAAAAUAUUAAUAGAAUCAAUGCAUCAGUGCUUCAUAAAAUCCAAAAACUGAUUCCUGAGCAUUUGAUGUUCCUUAUUUUUUAAAAAAUGCCUCAUGGUAUAAAAUGACAACCUAUGUGUACAGUAUAGUGUACAAACUAAUACAACUUCUCAGUUACCUGGCAUAUGAAUUGCUAAAAAUGUUAUAUUUAUGAAUUUUUAUACAUUUAAUAAUAUUUUAAAUGCAGUAGGAAUAUUAACAGUUUUGAAGCUCUACAAAGUAUCUUUUAGUUGUGAAAAUAAUCAUGAUAUUAUAAAUUUGGUAUGCAUGUAUUUUGGUGAUAUUAUUGAUGUUUCUAUAAUUAUAUAUUAAAACAUACAUUUUAAAAAAGACUCACAAAGUCAAUAACCAGGGAUACAGUGUUGUCAUUAGAAGACUUUCAAGUUUAUUGAAAAAUUGAGUUUAUUUCAACUUUCUUCUCUAGGUGUAGUCUUUCCCAAACAGUAUUCUUUUAAAUUCUGUCAAGCAAAUGAAUGCUACCAUAAAGAGAGGAGGGUGAAAAUAUAAAAUGAAGACUCUUAUAAUCCUUUUUCUGAUGUAGAAAUUAAAACAUGAUUUUUUUUUUUUUAAGAAAGUCCCAUUUAGCAGCAGAGCAUAAAUUGGAAAAUUUGGUCAGUGAUUUAUUUAGGCUCCACAGGGAAAAUCCUGUAGGGUGUUUUUGAAUAUCCUAAAUUUAUUUUGAUUUGAGACUAGCUUAAAGGGCAUGUCUAUCUUAAAACAGUUCUCCAUUUUCCUGAGAAAAAUUCCAGUGGAACUAGUUGUGGGAGGUUGUAUCCCAACAAUGAACCUUUGGGGCCAAAUGAGCACUUUAACACAACUUACUCCAUCCCAUUCCUUAAACUGAAGACUUUCUUGCCCACUGGGCUUGUUUAACUUUGCUAAUUUUAUUUCUCUGCAGAGGCAAAGGGGACAG